AAGUCGUAACAAGGUUUCCGUAGGUGAACCUGCGGAAGGAUCAUUAGUGAAUUAAACAUGCUUGGUGUCUUCGCUUCGGCAAGGCCCUUGCUUAAAUCACAUCCCAACACCUGUGAACUGUAAGACGUAUGAUGAGGUCUUUGGCCAAGUCAUCGUCUGCCCUUUUUUAACAAACAAUUAAUGUAACAAACGUAGUCUUAUUAUAACCUAAUAAAACUUUCAACAACGGAUCUCUUGGCUCUCGCAUCGAUGAAGAACGCAGCGAAAUGCGAUAAGUAAUGUGAAUUGCAGAAUUCAGUGAAUCAUCGAAUCUUUGAACGCACCUUGCGCUCUUUGGUAUUCCGAAGAGCAUGCCUGUUUGAGUGUCAUGAAAAUAUCAACCUUGACUUGGGUUUUGUGCUCUAGUCUUGGCUUGGAAUUGGGUGCUUGCCGCUUUUACGAGCGGCUCACCUUAAAUGUAUUAGCUGGAUCUGUCUUUGAGACUUGGUUUGACUUGGCGUAAUAAGUAUUUCGCUAAGGACAUUCUUCGGAGUGGCCUCGUUUUUAGGACGCUUGUCCGCUUCCCAAUACAAGUUCCACCUCGUGGACAUGACUUUUUUAUUAUCUGGCCUCAAAUCAGGUAGGACUACCCGCUGAACUUA
This 641-nucleotide ribosomal RNA is filed under the name uncultured fungus. Its description in RNAcentral is "eukaryotic LSU rRNA". The stretch from base 215 to 368 matches the Rfam family "5.8S ribosomal RNA". The record is from RNAcentral. Lineage: Eukaryota; Fungi.